UACGAAGGGGGCUAGCGUUGCUCGGAAUUACUGGGCGUAAAGCGCACGUAGGCGGUCUUUUAAGUCGGGGGUGAAAUCCCGGAGCUCAACUCCAGAACUGCCUUCGAUACUGGAAGACUUGAGUCCGGGAGAGGUGAGUGGAACUGCGAGUGUAGAGGUGAAAUUCGUAGAUAUUCGCAAGAACACCAGUGGCGAAGGCGGCUCACUGGCCCGGUACUGACGCUGAGGUGCGAAAGCGUGGGGAGCAAACAGG
RNAcentral lists this ribosomal RNA (253 nucleotides) under uncultured bacterium. Its description in RNAcentral is "partial 16S ribosomal RNA". It matches the Rfam family "Bacterial small subunit ribosomal RNA", at positions 524 to 776 of the family's 1533-position model. The record is from RNAcentral.